GGCGAGGGGAGUGAAAAAGAACCUGAAACCGUGUACGUACAAGCAGUGGGAGCACAGGUUUACCUGUGUGACUGCGUACCUUUUGUAUAAUGGGUCAGCGACUUAUAUUCUGUAGCAAGGUUAACCGAAUAGGGGAGCCGGAGGGAAACCGAGUCUUAACCGGGCGUUAAGUUGCAGGGUAUAGACCCGAAACCCGGUGAUCUAGCCAUGGGCAGGUUGAAGGUUGGGUAACACUAACUGGAGGACCGAACCGACUAAUGUUGAAAAAUUAGCGGAUGACCUGUGGCUGGGGGUGAAAGGCCAAUCAAACCGGGAGAUAGCUGGUUCUCCCCGAAAGCUAUUUAGGUAGCGCCUCGUGAAUUCAUCUCCGGGGGUAGAGCACUGUUUCGGCUAGGGGGCCAUCCCGGCUUACCAACCCGAUGCAAACUGCGAAUACCGGAGAAUGUUAUCACGGGAGACACACGGCGGGUGCUAACGUCCGUCGUGAAGAGGGAAACAACCCAGACCGCCAGCUAAGGUCCCAAAGUCAUGGUUAAGUGGGAAACGAUGUGGGAAGGCCCAGACAGCCAGGAUGUUGGCUUAGAAGCAGCCAUCAUUUAAAGAAAGCGUAAUAGCUCACUGGUCGAGUCGGCCUGCGCGGAAGAUGUAACGGGGCUAAACCAUGCACCGAAGCUGCGGCAGCGA
This 684-nucleotide ribosomal RNA is filed under the name Salmonella enterica subsp. enterica. RNAcentral describes it as "bacterial LSU rRNA". It matches the Rfam family "Bacterial large subunit ribosomal RNA", at positions 528 to 1211 of the family's 2925-position model. Lineage: Bacteria; Pseudomonadati; Pseudomonadota; Gammaproteobacteria; Enterobacterales; Enterobacteriaceae. The record is from RNAcentral.